CCUCAUAGUCAUUGUAUUAUUUCACAAAAAAUGUGUCACUGUCCCAAUACUUUUGGAGCUUACUGUAUAUCUGUUAUUGAAUGAACUAUCCCUUUAAUAUAGUUGAUUAGUGUUGCUGUUGGGCGUGUCUUUCUAUCCAGUCUGUGUUAUCAGGUUCCUCCUGGUACAAGGAGUUUGAUCCACUCUUUGAUAGUGUUGUCGUUGACCCAGCAGAAAGCCGUGCUUCUCCUGGAGCGACUCAUUCAGCUACUGGAGGAGAACAAACAGCCAAGUCUCUCUCUGAGCACCUACUGCCUCCGCAUCUCUGGAAUCUCCACCCAGUCUCUGAGAGUCCCAAUGAAGGCUCUGCCUCAGGACCAGGAUUCUAAGGGCCCCAGUGUCCCCCAGCCUCACUCACAGACAUCUCACAGAAACACUACAAUCUCUGACAUACACUCACAAGAGGGCGAGCCUAUGAAAUAAUCUGUUCAGCCGUCAUAUGUCUGUGUCCCCACACUGUCAGAGGAGGAGUGGGAUAAACUGCUGGAGCUUUCCCAACUCUUUCACCUGGGUGAAAGGGUGUGGAGAGGAAGCUGAGUGGCUUGGCGCAAGAUGCAGGACUUCUGGGGGGGGGGGCCUCAAAGGCAGAGGAAGCUCUUUUAUUGGCUAUCUGGAUGCACAGUGGGAGUGUGAAGGAGAUCUGCUCCUGCUUGACCCAGAUCGUCUUAAUCCCAGAGAGUUCUUGGUCUACCACCAUGGACUAUUCAAACUGAGACCGCAGUCAGCGGGAAGAUUCUCUCUGCUCCUGUCACAGUCGCUGUUGAGGACAUGAGCUUUGACUCCAGUCCUGUCUUCCAAUGGGUGUUCUUCAAGGUGCUGCCAAACUCCACCUUCGUCCCAGAUAGCAACCUUUUUCCUACCGAGUGCACUACCUAUGACUAGAACCCUAUGGGCCCUGGUCAAAGGAAGUGGACUAUAUUAGGAAAUAGGGAGGGAUUUGAGACAUAGCAUCUAUCAUAUUCCGAAAUACUGUCUGGAGAUGACAAUGUACUUAUGACUGUAUCAUCAACAGGGUUGGGUAGUAACGGAUAACCUGUCACAGGGAUUAGGUAAUUACAUUGCAAAAAUGGUGUAACUGUAAUCAGCCCAGAUUAAAUAUAUAUAUAUAAUAAAAAAUGAUUAUAGUUACAUUCUAACAGCUGAUUACAUUUUGCAUGACUUCUAGCUGCAAGUGUUUGCUUCAAACACACGGAAAUGACAGAUGAGCCACACUGCUCGGAAGUCACUUCUUAGUGGGAAUGGAUGCCGGUCUGUUUUAAUCUAUUUUGAAAUCUCCCAAACUGCUUAGUUGCUUUCUGCAAACCUUUUUUUUUACCAAAAAAAGGCUGACCACCACAUACUGAGAACUGACUCCUCCCAGAAUAAAAAAAGGACAUAAAGAAAAGAUGAUUAUUAUUAUUUUUUUACCCCCUUUUCUUCCCAAUUUCGUGGUAUCCAAUUGUUAGUAGUUACUAUCUUGUCUCAUCACUACAACUCCCAUACGGGCUCGGGAGAGACGAAGGUCGAAAGCCAUGCGCAAAAGGACAUUUUUAAUUAGUCAACAGCUCCACCCUGUUCAAUUCCCAGGCACUGACAUGAAACACAUGACAAAUUAAUUACUUACUCAACUAAAUUUCUAGUUUCAGUGGAAACAAUGCAAUACAACUGUAUUGACAAUCCCCUCAAAUUUGAUGUGAAGAAGUUGUCCAUAGUCACAUUUCUACCUUUGCCCAUGUAAGGCUCCAUGAGUCUCAAAACCACAGUCUGGGGCCAUUGCUCAACCACUGGCCUCGUUUAAUCUUUCCCCAGAUAUGGAAAGCCAUUGAGCAAGUACUUGGUUUUGGCUUAAUUUAAAUAGACAUUUGUCCGGUCUGUUGGCCAUGUAUUGGAUAAAACGGCACAAGCUUUGGUUGGAAACAGUUGCUCAUCAACAGUUAACAGUAUGUUCUCUCCUGGCUUGUAACAAGCAAUGCAAUUCUUCACAAAACUUUUUGAUGUGUUUGAGUGCAGCAAACCUGUCCGUCUGCACACUUAUUGGUCUUGUCUCCUUGUUAUCGAAACUCAGGUGUAGCAUAAUCUCUCCAGCCAUGUUUAUACCUGGUGCUCGCAUGCAUCCUUUGUCUUGAUCUUGUUCACAUUUUGUUUGUGUCCAUAUAUUAGCCGUUGCGUCUACACAUGGUAUUAAAAUGCCUCUUACCCAUCCACUGUGUUCGCAUUGUGACCAGAUUUCCCUGUAUGCAAAUAAUUUGAAAGAUAUUGUUUUUCAAAAUUAUAUUAAUUUAUUUAUUUUAGGAAAAAUAUUGGUGCCAUAAGUCAAUGGUGCCACCUAUGAUUCAUUUGGAGGGUGGGAUAAUUAGGAUUUAUAUGGUUUCACUGUCCAGAACCAUCUACACUUGUAAUAUAUCCAGACACAAUGCAUCCCUGACUACCUCUGAAGGUGAUAAGGAAGAUCUAAUCACAAUCAGAUCAAAUGUGUCUUAAUCGUCUACACCUGUGAAAAAAUGUGGGGACAAUCAGAAUGUGGACAGGACAAUGAACGCAUGUUAGGACCAGGGGCUUAUGAAGCGGUUGCAUACCUAUCAGACCAAAAUGACUCCACAUCCGUGCUCUUUCUGCCAUAUGCCCACGGGACAUACAGUACAAAAGUGCAAUAAAUGCUUUGAGUUCAUCCAUAGACAUGUCCCACCCACAUACUGUUUACUUUUUUGUGUACAUGAGCGACAGUACAAUCUCUGUGCGUCAACAUCUGCAUGUCACAUGAGCAAAGAAAACUGUAGAGUGCGGUGGCAGUUUCUCUUUGCGUGACAUAUAGGGCCUGCUCUCUGUGAGAAUAUUCUGGAAAGGCCACCUUCCUGUUACGAUCUCGUCACUCUUUUCUACCCCGUUCCAUCCCUCCCAGACUUCUGUCUCACCAUGACAGUUGGGAUAACCGUCUCAGUUGGCCUUGUUCUGAUUUUUCUGCAGCGAGGCUCAGACACCGGAGGCGGAGGCUCGGAGUCGACAUCAAAAUCAAUUGAAGAGUCUUCAUCGGCAACACUGAUUUCAAGCUCAAUAUCCGAUCCGACUCCAGCUCUUCUAAAUUCUGCAUUCAGGCAUUUUCAAUGCUGUCAGUGCGUCCAUUUGUUUGGUUUGGAUUGCCAUUUUGAACUACACACGUGUGUUGUACUCAGCGUCGGGGGCGCCGUGAGAGUUAUUUAAGUUACUCUUCAAAGAGGUAGGGUUUCAGACGUUUUCAAAAGAUGGGUAGUACUCCCCUGUCCUGACUUUAGGGGGAAGCUUGUUCCACCAUUGGGGUGCCAGGACAGAGAAAAUUGUCCUGAAACUAAUCCAAGUCCACAACGACAGUCAGAAGUACUGAGCAAUCAGACAGUUCAAACAGCAAUGAUUUAACUUGGCUACUAGGUAAAGGACAGCACUUCAAUUUAAUUGCCCCAGCAAGACAAUACCAACAGCUACUUAUUGAAUCCAAAAAUGUAUUUGCUGCUCUUCUAGGAGUUGAUCCCCUUCCAUACUAUAGAUGACACACUAAGACUGGGGCCAAGUAAGGCUCCUUAAAUAGCCAGGAAAGACAGGCAAGACCACUCCCACUAAAAACACCCUUCAGUUAUCAAGGGCUAUUACACAAAUAGGCCUGCAACUAAUCUAAGUCCACAACGACAGUUACAAGUACAGCACAAUCAGACAGUUCAAACAGCACUAUUGUUCUAAAUUCAAUCAUCCUCUUCACCACAGGAGGUUGUUGGCUGCUUAAUUGGGGAGGACGGGCUUGUGGUAAUGGCCGGAGCGGAUUUUGUAGAAUGGAAUCAAAAACAGUGCAUCAACCACAUUUUUUCCAUGUUUGAUGCCAUUCAAUUUGCUCUGUUCCAGCCAUUAUUAUGAUCCGUCCUCCCCUCAGCAGCCGUAACUGCUCUUCACCCUCAUCAUUCCGCUAAUUCCAAUUAAAUUGUGAAGUCAUAUGCACAAUUAUCAGCUUCUAUCACCAUUUCAUCCAUUGAUGUCAUUCAUUCAGCGAGGAGAGAGACACAUUAGCGCCUGGGUACCAACGUCCUUCAGCCCGUUUGUCUUAGCCCCUUAAGGUACCAAUAGCUAAAGAAAAUACAUACAAAAUGAACAGGGAAACAGCCUCUAAAUACUUUUCUGUUUGUGAUUGGACAAUUCUAACAACUGAGCAUUGUAAAAUAUAAAUAUUUAGGAAAAGUAAUUCAAUCAGCAGAAAAUAGCUUUUUUGGUGAGAUUGAACAGAGUGGCUAUAGUUCUGGAUUUUCUGGAAACCAGAAAAUACGAAGAUUCCUGCACAUCCGGGAUCCACUAGCCUACCUCCUUUCAGUUGCUGCUUAGUGCUCAGACACUGUGACUCUGUGACUACACAAAACAGUUUGCUCAAACUUAGCCUAUUUUUACAACAGACAAAGAACUAUGGCAAACAUAAGCAUGACAAACAGGUUGUCUAGUAAUUUGAUGUUCUUUUUUCAGGAAACCUGCUGGCUAUAUCGCAGCAUAAACAUCACACAAAACGCUAAUUGUUUUGCCGCAAUGCAAUGUGUAGACUGUGUCUUGCUUGUGCUAUGGCAAUAUCCGUUACCACAGACAGCCUUCAUAUACAGUGCAAGUCAAAAGUUUGGACACACCUACUCAUUCAAGGGUUUUUCUUUAUUUUUUACUAUUUUCUCCAUUGUAGAUUA
Oncorhynchus mykiss (rainbow trout) is the source of this 4700-nucleotide non-coding RNA. Lineage: Eukaryota; Metazoa; Chordata; Actinopteri; Salmoniformes; Salmonidae. The record is from RefSeq and is a predicted model, not a curated record.